AUGUGAAGUAGGCCCACCCGCAAGCGGGUCGUCCUUCUUCACGAAGCCCUUAUUCGCACUGCGUGCUCAACGGGG
This 75-nucleotide non-coding RNA is filed under the name unclassified sequences. RNAcentral's name for it is "traJ-II RNA". It matches the Rfam family "traJ-II RNA", at positions 10 to 86 of the family's 104-position model. The record is from RNAcentral.